This 9752-nucleotide unclassified non-coding RNA is filed under the name Hevea brasiliensis (rubber tree). The record is from RNAcentral. Lineage: Eukaryota; Viridiplantae; Streptophyta; Magnoliopsida; Malpighiales; Euphorbiaceae.
AGUACCGCUUUCUUCUUGGAUCCAACGGCUUAUUCACAGCCGUCAAAGUGCAAAGGACCUUGUUCUAGGUCAUAUUGAGGAAACACAAAAAUUUGGUGCCAAUGUCCCCUGGUUGGAUAUAAAGGUGGAUGAAGAUAUUCUGGAAAGAAUUUGCUCAGUUAAUAAUUUGGCUGGUGCUUGGUGGGCUAUCCAUGAAGCAGCUAGAUAUUGUAUUACAACACGGCUUCGAACUAAUCUUGGUGGGCCAACCCAAACAUUUGCGGCAUUGGAAGGAAUGCUUGUGGAAAUUGCACAUGUGCUACAGCUUGACAUUGAGCAAACUGAUGGAAAUCUGAGUAUAAUAGGAUCUUCUGGUGCUCAUUUGUUACCAAUGAGGUUGCUACUGGAUUUUGUUGAGGCCCUAAAGAAGAAUGUAUACAAUGCAUAUGAAGGGUCUGCUAUUUUACCAUCUGCUUCACGCCAGAGUUCAUUGUUCUUUCGUUCAAACAGGAAGGUCUGUGAGGAGUGGUUUUCUCGUAUAUGCGAGCCAAUGAUGAAUGCUGGAUUAGCACUACAAUGUCAUGAUGCUACGAUUCAAUAUUGUAGUGUGCGUUUGCAGGAGCUUAAGAAUCUUUGGGCUUCAUCUUUGAAGGAGAAGUCUAGACCACAUAUGUCUGAGAAUCUUCAUAAUAUCAGGGAUAAAUUUUCUGGAGACAUUUUGAGAGUUUUACGACACAUGGCAUUGGCUCUGUGUAAGAAUCAUGAACCGGAGGCAUUGGUUGGUCUACGACAAUGGGCUUCAAUGACAUUUUCUUCCUUGCUAGUGGAUGAGAACCAGUCUCUGAGUCAUAGUGGAAUGUUGGGCCCUUUUGCCUGGAUAACUGGUCUGGUACAUCAGGCAGAAGGCCAGUAUGAAAGAGCUGCUGCUUACUUCACUCACUUGUUACAGAAUGAGGAGUCACUCAGCUCUAUGGGUUCUGAUGGUGUACAGUUUGCUAUUUCACGUAUUAUUGAGUGUUAUGCUGCUGUAUCAGAUUGGAGAUAUCUAGAAUCUUGGUUAAUAGAGUUGCAAACACUUCGUUCUAAACAUGCUGGAAAGAGUUAUUCUGGUGCUUUAACUACAGCUGGCAAUGAAAUCAACGCAAUUCAUGCGUUGGCACGCUUUGAUGAGGGUGAUUUUCAGUCAGCUUGGGCUUGUCUAGAUUUGACCCCUAAAAGCAGCUCUGAACUUACACUUGAUCCUAAACUUGCCUUGCAGAGAAGUGAACAAAUGCUUUUACAGGCAAUGCUGCUCCAUCUUGAAGGGAAGGCAGACAAAGUGCCACAUGAAAUACACAAGGCCAAGUCGAUGCUGGAGGAAAUAUUGUCUGUUUUGCCACUUGAUUCUUUAACAGAAGCAGUGCCCCCUGCUACACAGUUACGCUGCAUCUUUGUAUUUGAAGAAUGUCACAAGCUUAAGGGCAAUCUGGUGAAUUCUAAGCAACAGCAAUCAAUAUUAAGUUCUUAUAUUGAGUCAGUGCAAUCUGUUAUGAAUAGAGUUCAUCAAGACUGUAAUCCAUGGUUAAAAGUUCUCCGGGUUUAUCAAACCAAUUUUCCAACUUCUCCAGUCACUCUAAAGCUCUGCAUGGAUUUAUCAAGUUUAGCCCGUAAACAGGGAAACCUAAUGUUGGCAAGACGUUUAAACAACUAUCUCAGGGAUCGUGUACUGAGUUCCUCUGAGCAAAGACAUAGUGAUUUCUUAUUGUCAAAUUUGCAAUACGAGGAUUUCUUGCUCAUGUAUGAGGAAAACAAGUUUGAAGAUGCUUUUGCAAAUCUUUGGUCAUUUAUCCGUUCUUGCAUGUUUUCUCCUGCAUCCAUAGUUUCUGAUUCAGAUGAUAAUAUUUUGAAGGCCAAAGCAUGCUUGAAACUUUCAGGUUGGUUGAGAAGAGAUUAUCUGGAUCUGAAUUUGGAGAAUAUUGUUCACAGGAUGCUAGCGGAUUUUAGUGUUGAUGAUAAAGCUUUGCUCAGCAGAGGUGGACCAUCUGUCAAUGAUGAGAACUUAAGUUCUAAACUGAGUCUGCGCAUUAUUGUUGAGGAAAUUGUAGGUACAGCUACAAAAUUGUCUACACAACUUUGCUCCAUAAUGGGAAAAUCAUGGAUUUCUUAUGCAUCUUGGUGUUUCAGUCAGGCUAGAGACUCUCUCUUAGCUCCAUGUGAAAAUGUCCUCCGCUCAUGCUCUUUCUCUUCUCUACUUCUUCCAGAAGUUCUGCCCGAAAGAUUUAAGUUGACUGAAGAUGAAAGAAGCCAAGUGCAGUAUGCUGUUUUGAAGCUUUUUAGGAAUGAGGGAGAUGCUUUCAAUGGUGAAGGGGGAGAGUGGAAACUUUGGUUUAAUUCUAUGCAACAUCCAAGAAUUAACAACCUUGUGGAGGCUUUGGUACACCAAGCAGUGGAUAUAAUUGAAGCUGCUGCUGGGGCACCUGGUGCAGAAAAUUCCAAUGGUGAGUCCCUUUCUGCUACUCUAGCAUCUCAGCUGCAAACCUUCCUAAGUGCAAAAGCUGGCCUCAAAGGAACAGAUAUCUCCACUGCGGUUAAUGAGUUAGUUAAUGUUUGGUGGUCUUUGAGGAGAAGACGGGUGUCUCUCUUUGGGUAUGCAGCUCAUGGUUUCAUGCAAUACCUGACAUACUCAUCUUUAAGGUUUUCUGAUUAUCAGUUGGCUGGCUCUGGGUGUGAGUCACUAAAACGAAAAACUGGCAGCUACAUUUUGAGGGCUACCUUGUAUGUGCUACACAUCUUCCUCAAUUAUGGAGUUGAGUUGAAAGAUACAAUUGAACCUGCUCUUUCAACAAUUCCCUUGUUGCCAUGGCAGGAAGUCACUCCCCAGUUGUUUGCUCGUUUAAGUUCUCACCCAGAGCAACUUGUUCGCAAGCAAUUGGAGGGUUUACUAAUGAUGUUGGCGAAGCAAUCUCCUUGGUCCAUAGUGUACCCAACACUAGUUGAUGUAAAUGCUAAUGACAAUAAACCUUCAGAGGAGCUUCAACACAUACUUGGUUGCUUGAGAGAGCUGUACCCGAGAUUAAUUCAAGAUGUUCAACUGAUGAUAAAUGAACUUGGAAAUGUUACUGUUCUUUGGGAGGAACUAUGGCUUAGCACACUUCAAGAUCUUCAUGCAGAUGUAAUGAGACGCAUAAAUGUGCUGAAAGAGGAAGCUGCACGAAUUGCAGAGAAUGCCACUUUAAGUCAGAGUGAGAAGAAUAAGAUAAGUGCUGCUAAAUACUCAGCCAUGAUGGCUCCCAUUGUGGUUGCUUUAGAACGCCGCCUGGCUUCAACUUCUCGAAAACCUGAAACUCCUCAUGAAGGAUGGUUCUAUCGGGAAUACAGAGAACAAUUAAAGUCAGCCAUUUGGACAUUUAAGACUCCUCCAGCUUCAGCUGCUGCACUUGGAGAUGUGUGGCGGCCAUUUGAUGAUAUUGCUGCAUCAUUAGCUUCCUAUCAGAGAAAGUCAUCAAUAAUAUUAGGAGAAGUUGCACCCCAACUGGCUUCAUUGUCAUCUUCUGAUGUUCCAAUGCCUGGUCUUGAGAAGCAAGUCACAGUAGCUGAAUCUGACAGAGAUCUGACUAUAACUCUUCAGGGAAUGGUUGCAAUUGCUUCUUUUUCUGAACAAGUGACUAUCUUGUCAACCAAGACAAAACCUAAGAAACUUGUUCUACAUGGUUCGGAUGGUCAAAAGUACACUUAUCUUUUGAAAGGGCGAGAAGAUCUGCGCCUCGAUGCCAGAAUCAUGCAGCUUCUGCAAGCUAUAAAUGGUAUAAUGGAUUCAUCUUCUGCAACUCGUAAGCAUUUGCUGGCUAUACGGUAUUAUUCUGUAACGCCAAUCAGUGGUCAGGCAGGCCUUAUCCAGUGGGUGGACAAUGUGAUAAGCAUAUACAGUGUGUUUAAGUCCUGGCAAAACCGUCUACAGCUAGCCCAGUUCUCAGCAAUGGGUCCAGGCACUGGAAAAAAUUCUGCUCCUCCACCUGUUCCUCGACCAAGUGAUAUGUUCUAUGGUAAAAUUAUACCAGCACUUAAAGAGAAAGGUAUAAGAAGAGUAAUUUCACGAAGAGACUGGCCUCAUGAUGUCAAGCGUAAAGUUCUUCUGGAUUUAAUGAAGGAAGUUCCUAGACAGCUGCUAUACCAAGAGCUUUGGUGUGCUAGUGAAGGGUUCAAAGCCUUCAGCUUAAAAUUGAGGAGGUAUUCUGGAAGCGUUGCAGCCAUGAGUAUUGUGGGCCACAUUCUUGGUCUAGGGGAUAGACAUUUGGAUAACAUUCUGGUGGAUUUCUGCAGUGGGGAUAUUGUGCAUAUUGAUUACAAUAUUUGCUUUGAUAAGGGGCAAAGACUAAAGAUUCCCGAAAUUGUUCCAUUCCGUCUUACUCAGAUGAUUGAAGCUGCUUUAGGAUUGACUGGAGUAGAGGGUACCUUCAGAGCAAACUGUGAGGCAGUUGUUGACAUUCUGAGGAAAAACAAGGACAUACUCUUGAUGUUACUGGAGGUCUUUGUUUGGGAUCCACUUGUAGAAUGGACCCGAGGGGAUUUUCAUGAUGAUGCAACAAUUGGUGGUGAAGAAAGAAAGGGCAUGGAAUUGGCAGUUAGCUUGAGUUUAUUUGCAUCCCGGGUGCAAGAAAUUCGUGUUCCCUUGCAGGAACAUCAUGAUCUCUUGUUGGCUACCUUGCCUGCUGUUGAAUCUGCUCUUGAGAGGUUUUCUGAUGUUCUAAACCAAUAUGAGCUUGCCUCUGCUCUUUUCUAUCGAGCUGACCAAGAGAGAUCCAGCCUUAUUCUUCGUGAGACAUCUGUGAAGUCGAUAGUGGCUGAAGCAACUUGUAAUUCGGAGAAAACCCGUGCAUCAUUUGAAAUUCAGGCUAGAGAAUUUGCUCAGGCAAAGGCUGUGGUAGUUGAGAAGGCUCAAGAAGCUGCAACUUGGAUGGAACAGCAUGGAAGGAUCCUUGAUGCUUUACGGAGCAAUUUACUUCCGGAAGUAGAUACCUGCCUAAAGCUUACUAAUAUGGCUGAUGCUUUGUCUCUUACAUCAGCUGUUCAAGUUGCAGGAGUUCCUUUGACCAUAGUUCCUGAGCCCACACAAGCACAAUGCCAGGACAUAGAUAGGGAAGUUUCUCAACUCGUAGCUGAGCUGCAUCAUGGACUCUCAUCUGCCCUAGCUGGAAUGCAAGUAUAUUCUCUGUCUUUGCAAAGAAUUCUACCUUUAAACUACCUUACCACUAGUGCAGUACAUGGCUGGGCACAAGUGUUGCAACUGUCUGCAAACGCCCUAUCCUCUGAUAUUCUCUCUCUUGCCAGAAGACAGGCUGCUGAAAUUAUUUCCACAGUACAAGGAGAUAAUCUUGAUUCUGUUAAACAUAGUCAUGCUGAUCUUUGUCUUAAACUGGAGAAAUAUGCAAUUGAGAUGGAGAAAGUUGAAGCAGAGAGUGCUGAGCUAGAGAGUUCUGUAGGCUUGGAGACUGAAUCAAAAGUUAAGGAUUGUCUUCUAUCUGCUUUUGUUAAGUACAUGCAGUCUGCCGGUGUUGUAAAGAAAGAAGAUGCUAGUUCUUUUAAUCAAUCAGGACAAUUAAAAUAUGAUGCGACCAGGGAUGCUAAGUUACCAGUGGAGCAGGAAGACAAGAAGGACAAGGUUCUAUCUGUUUUAAAUGUAGUUGUAAGUUCCUUGUACAAUGAGGUUAAGCAUAGGGUUCUUGACAUAUUUAGUGAUUCUGCUGGAGGAAGAAAUGCAAAUGGUAGAUUUGGAACUAUUUUCUCUGAGUUUGAAGAGCAAAUAGAGAAAUGUGUACUUGUAGUGGGGUUUGUUAAUGAACUGCAGCAAUUUAUUGGUUGGGACAUAGCUAGUGGGGAUAUAGAAGUAAGCCACGCAAAAAAUGAUCCUGAAAAAAACUGGGCUUCCAUAUUUAAAACCUCUUUGCUUUCCUGUAAGAGUUUAAUUGGGCAAAUGACUGAAGUUGUUCUACUGGAUGUGAUGAGAUCUGCUGUUUCAUUGAAUUCAGAAAUUAUGGACGCAUUUGGAUUGAUCUCACAAAUUCGGGGGACCAUUGACACAGCAUUGGAGCAGCUAUUGGAGGUUGAAUUGGAGAGGGCAUCCUUGGUUGAACUUGAAAAGAACUACUUUGUUAAGGUUGGUCUCAUUACUGAGCAACAGUUGGCUCUUGAGGAAGCUGCAAUGAAAGGUAGGGAUCAUCUUUCUUGGGAAGAGGCGGAAGAGCUUGCCUCCCAAGAAGAAGCUUGUAGGGCACAGCUGGACCAACUCCAUCAAACAUGGAAUGACAGGGAGAUGCGUACAACUUCUCUCAUAAAGAGAGAAGCUGACAUAAAAAGUGCCCUGGUUUCUUCUGAAUGCCAUUUUCAAUCUCUUAUUAAUACUGAAGAGAUGGGAGAGCCACACAUAUUAGGAAGUAAAGCACUGUUGUCCUUGUUAGUUAAGCCCUUCUCUGAAUUGGAAUCUCUGGAUAAGUCAUUGUCAAUUUGUGGUGGUUCUGUUAUUUCUCGUUCGGACGAGUUUUCUAAUUUGGCAGAUCUUAUGAGUUCAGGGUACUCAAUAUCUGAAUAUAUCUGGAAAUUUGGUGGCUUAUUGAACAGCCAUUCUUUUUUUAUUUGGAAAGUGUGUGUUGUGGAUUCUUUUCUGGAUUUGUGCAUACAUGAUGUUGCUUCAUCUGUGGAUCAAAAUUUAGGAUUUGACCAGCUUUUCAAUGUUGUAAAGAGAAAGCUUGAAGCCCAACUUCAAGAACAUAUUUGUCGAUACCUGAAGGAACGAGUUGCUGCUUCUUUCUUGGCUUGGUUGGACAGAGAAAAUGAGCGUUUGAAGCUAUUGGCAGAGACAACAAAGGAACUUCCUAUGGACCAACUGAAAAAAGAUGUUGGCAUUGUCAGGAAGGUCCAGCUCAUGCUUGAGGAGUACUGUAAUGCACAUGAAACUGCAAGAGCAGUGAGAUCAGCAGCUUCCACCAUGAAAAAGCACGGAAAUGAACUCAAAGAGGCUUUUCACAAGACUGGCCUAGAGAUUGUCCAAUUAGAAUGGAUGCAUGAUGCUUUAAUCCCUUCACAGAAGAGCAGAGCCAAAUUUCAGAAAUUUCUUGCUAUUGAGGAUAACCUAUAUUCCAUUAUCUUAAACCUCAGCAGACCUAAUUUGCUUGAAGGUAUACAAUCUGCUAUAAAAAAAUUGGCUAGGUCUAUAGAUUGCCUGCAAGCUUGUGAACGAAAUUCCAUUGUGGCAGAAGGGCAGCUUGAGAGAGCAAUGGGAUGGGCUUGUGGUGGUCCAACUUCCAGUAUGACUGGAAAUAUGUCUAAUAAAACUUCAGGAAUUCCUCCUGAGUUUCAUGACCAUCUGAUGAGGCGACAAAAAUUGCUAUGGGAAGCUAGGGAAAAGGCAUCAGAUAUUGUCAAAAUUUGCAUGUCAAUAUUAGAAUUUGAAGCAUCAAGAGAUGGGAUUUUUCGAAUCCCCGGAGAGAUUUAUCCUGUGAUGACUGGUGGUGAUGGCAGGACCUGGCAGCAAGCUUACUUGAAUGCAUUAACAAAAUUGGAGGUUACGUACCAUUCUUUUACAUGUGCCGAGCAAGAAUGGAAGCUUGCACAAAGCAGUAUGGAAGCUGCAUCCAGUGGCUUGUAUUCUGCAACUAAUGAACUAUGCAUUGCAUCUCUUAAAGCAAAGUCAGCUUCAGGUGAUUUGCAGAGCACUGUUCUUGCAAUGAGAGACUGUGCAUAUGAAGCUAGUGUUGCUCUAUCCGCUUUUGGUCGUGUAUCAAGGGGCCAUACUGCUUUGACUUCUGAAUCUGGCACCAUGCUUGAUGAGGUUCUUGCAAUAACUGAAGAUCUGCAUGAUGUUUAUAUAUUGGGAAAGGAGGCUUCUGCAGUACACCAUUCUCUUAUGGAGGAUCUUUCAAAGGCAAAUGCAAUCCUUCUUCCACUUGAAUCAGUAUUGUCUAAAGAUGUGACUGCCAUGACAGAUGCAAUGAAUAGGGAAAGAGAGACUAAGAUGGAAGUAUCUCCAAUUCAUGGACAAGCCAUAUACCAAUCUUAUCGUGUGCGAAUUAGGGAGGCUAUUCAGACAUUUAUGCCCCUGGUACCAUCAUUUACAUUAUCCGUGAAGGGACUAUAUUUGAUACUGAUGAGGCUGGCACGAACUGCAAGUCUUCAUGCUGGCAAUCUCCAUAAGGCUCUUGAAGGACUAGCAGAAAGCCAGGAUGUAAAAUCACAGGGAAUUAGUUUGUCAAGGGCGGAUCUUGAUGGUGGUCCUAAUGAAUUUGAUGACAAGGGAAGUGAUAGACUCUCUACUUCUGAUGGUGGGAGCACUAAAGAUUUCCUUGGUGAUACUGGACUCUCUUUGCAAGAUAAAGGAUGGAUUUCUCCACCAGACAGCGUAUGCAGUGGCAGCUCAGAAUCUGGAAUUACUGAAGCAAGUCUUGUGGAUAGCUCCAGUGAUCUGGCAGAAGUAAUAGGACAAUUUUCACAUAGCAGGGUUGUGACAGACUGUCUUAAUUCUGCGCCAUCUUCUCAAGCUCAUUACCAGGAACUUUCACAAUCUGGUCAGUUAAUAUCCAAAUGUGAGGAGGUGAACAAUAGUGAUAAUAGUUAUGUUACAGGAGCUAGUGAGUUAAAUGAACACCGAAAAUCUGCGGCAUUAUCAAGUGGUGAAGCUGCAACUGCCCAUGUUGAGUCUUUGCUACCUCUGAAUGAGGACAACUCAACACUGAAAUAUGAUGUUAAAGAUGAUGGCAUAUCCUCAUUAAGCAAAGUUAAGAUUGAAGAUGAAAAUCUUGAAGCUUCGCAUCCUAAUUCUCACAUUGGGAACAGAGUGGCCAGAGGUAAAAAUGCAUAUGCUAUCUCAGUGCUAAGGCGAAUUGAGAUGAAAAUAGAUGGUCGAGAUAUUGCUGAAAACAGAGAAAUUAGUGUUGGAGAGCAAGUGGAUUAUCUAAUUAAGCAAGCAACGAGUGUAGAUAAUCUUUGCAACAUGUAUGAAGGUUGGACACCUUGGAUUUGAACUUGUGAAGUCUGUGCUUUCUUGACAGAUCCUGAAUUCUAUGCAAGAAUGUCUGAGCAUGGUGCUGCGACAAUGAAUGGCUAGACACUGGUCUAGAACAUUUUCCUAGCUCAAUUAAGCUUCGGGACAUAUUGCCUACAGCCCUAUCCAUCUGGUUUCAGGACAAUGAAGAGUCGAUAGCACUCUUUUGUCAGAAAUUGCAAUCAAUUAGUCAUGAGCGCUUUAAGGGGUACUAUCCUAGUGUCUCCACUUGACCAAUGCCAUCCCCGUUGAGGAAUCAGAGACAGAAGGGGCACAGGGCAUAUCCCAAGCCUGCACGAGACAUGUAGCAUCUUAACCAUGCAGCAGCAUAUGCAGUGUAGACAGGAAACAUUAUGCCCUGCAAAGAUUCAACAAUCUCGCCAUCUGCUUCCAAGAGGGGUUUCAACUUUAACAGUUCAAAACUCUGUAGAUGGCAACAAGUGAAUGCAGAAUUCCAUGCAUUCAAGAGAUUCUCCGGCUUGGUGCCAGUCAGAUUAGUCGGCAUUGAAUUAAUGCUUCCCCAGAAGCAGUCAUCGUGCAACCCAGACCACCAACAUCGCUAUUGUAUUCGGUGUUUACCAAUGGGAUCUGAGUACCAUAUUAUUCUUAGUUCUUAUUCAUGUUGCUGUAUGAGAACCCUAGCUUUUAGCGCUUAACAAUUUGAAGUUAUAAAUGAUUGUCGGCAACUCUUUUUUUGUCCCAUUAUUUCAUUUCUUUUUGGCUCUUAGAUCUUUCUAAAUCAUUUUUUUAAAAAUUAAAG